Molecule: ribosomal RNA, 524 nt
Filed under: uncultured bacterium
Lineage: Bacteria
Description: partial 16S ribosomal RNA
Rfam family: Bacterial small subunit ribosomal RNA
Source: RNAcentral
UGGGGAAUAUUGCACAAUGGGCGCAAGCCUGAUGCAGCCAUGCCGCGUGUGUGAAGAAGGCCUUCGGGUUGUAAAGCACUUUCAGCGAGGAGGAAGGUGGUGAGCUUAAUACGCUCAUCAAUUGACGUUACUCGCAGAAGAAGCACCGGCUAACUCCGUGCCAGCAGCCGCGGUAAUACGGAGGGUGCAAGCGUUAAUCGGAAUUACUGGGCGUAAAGCGCACGCAGGCGGUUUGUUAAGUCAGAUGUGAAAUCCCCGGGCUCAACCUGGGAACUGCAUUUGAAACUGGCAAGCUAGAGUCUCGUAGAGGGGGGUAGAAUUCCAGGUGUAGCGGUGAAAUGCGUAGAGAUCUGGAGGAAUACCGGUGGCGAAGGCGGCCCCCCUGGACGAAGACUGACGCUCAGGUGCGAAAGCGUGGGGCAGCAAACAGGAUUAGAUACCCCUGGUUAGUCCACGCUGUAAAACGAUGUCGAUUUUGGAGGUUGUGCCCCUUGAGGCGUGGNUUCCGGAGCUAACGCGUUAAA